RNAcentral lists this ribosomal RNA (253 nucleotides) under uncultured bacterium. Its description in RNAcentral is "partial 16S ribosomal RNA". It matches the Rfam family "Bacterial small subunit ribosomal RNA", at positions 524 to 776 of the family's 1533-position model. The record is from RNAcentral.
UACGUAGGGGGCAAGCGUUGUCCGGAUUUAUUGGGCGUAAAGGGCGCGUAGGCGGCCUGCUAAGUCGAACGUGAAAUCCCUGGGCUCAACCCAGGAACUGCGUCCGAUACUGGUUGGCUUGAAUCCGGGAGAGGGACGUGGAAUUCCAGGUGUAGCGGUGAAAUGCGUAGAGAUGUGGAGGAACACCGAUGGCGAAGGCAGCCCCCUGGGAUAACACUGACGCUCAGGCACGAAAGCGUGGGGAGCAAACAGG